This 408-nucleotide ribosomal RNA is filed under the name uncultured bacterium. RNAcentral describes it as "partial 16S ribosomal RNA". It matches the Rfam family "Bacterial small subunit ribosomal RNA", at positions 28 to 526 of the family's 1533-position model. The record is from RNAcentral.
GACGACCGCUGGCGGCGUGCUUAACACAUGCAAGUCGAACGAAGUGGCGAACGGGUGAGUAACGCGUAAUCAACCUGCCCUUCAGCGGGGGACAACAGUUGGAAACGACUGCUAAUACCGCAUACUGAAGGAGGGGAUUGUGUCUGAUUAGCUAGUGGGAGGGGUAACGGCCCACCAAGGCGAUGAUCAGUAGGCUGUCUGGAGUGAUGAACGCACAAAUUUGGACGGAGACACGGCCCAGACGCCGACGGGAGGCAGCGUUGGGGAAUCUUCCGGAAUGGACGAAAGUCUGACGGAGCAACGCCGCGUGAGUGAUGACGGCCUUCGGGUUGUAAAGCUCUGUUAAUCGGGACGCGGUACCUGAAUAGAAAGCCACGGCUAACUACGUGCCAGCAGCCGCGGUAAUUC